This 72-nucleotide transfer RNA is filed under the name Camelus bactrianus (Bactrian camel). It matches the Rfam family "tRNA". Rfam says of the family: Transfer RNA (tRNA) molecules are approximately 80 nucleotides in length. Their secondary structure includes four short double-helical elements and three loops (D, anti-codon, and T loops). Lineage: Eukaryota; Metazoa; Chordata; Mammalia; Artiodactyla; Camelidae. RNAcentral also lists the same sequence under 2 other names. The record is from Rfam by way of RNAcentral.
GGAGAUAAAGCUCAGUGGUAUAUUGUGUGCUUGGCAUGCAUGAGGUCCUGGGUUCAAUCCCCAGUGCCUCCA